This 885-nucleotide ribosomal RNA is filed under the name Shigella sonnei. Its description in RNAcentral is "partial 23S ribosomal RNA". It matches the Rfam family "Bacterial large subunit ribosomal RNA", at positions 474 to 1358 of the family's 2925-position model. The record is from RNAcentral. Lineage: Bacteria; Pseudomonadati; Pseudomonadota; Gammaproteobacteria; Enterobacterales; Enterobacteriaceae.
UCCUGACUGACCGAUAGUGAACCAGUACCGUGAGGGAAAGGCGAAAAGAACCCCGGCGAGGGGAGUGAAAAAGAACCUGAAACCGUGUACGUACAAGCAGUGGGAGCACGCUUAGGCGUGUGACUGCGUACCUUUUGUAUAAUGGGUCAGCGACUUAUAUUCUGUAGCAAGGUUAACCGAAUAGGGGAGCCGAAGGGAAACCGAGUCUUAACUGGGCGUUAAGUUGCAGGGUAUAGACCCGAAACCCGGUGAUCUAGCCAUGGGCAGGUUGAAGGUUGGGUAACACUAACUGGAGGACCGAACCGACUAAUGUUGAAAAAUUAGCGGAUGACUUGUGGCUGGGGGUGAAAGGCCAAUCAAACCGGGAGAUAGCUGGUUCUCCCCGAAAGCUAUUUAGGUAGCGCCUCGUGAAUUCAUCUCCGGGGGUAGAGCACUGUUUCGGCAAGGGGGUCAUCCCGACUUACCAACCCGAUGCAAACUGCGAAUACCGGAGAAUGUUAUCACGGGAGACACACGGCGGGUGCUAACGUCCGUCGUGAAGAGGGAAACAACCCAGACCGCCAGCUAAGGUCCCAAAGUCAUGGUUAAGUGGGAAACGAUGUGGGAAGGCCCAGACAGCCAGGAUGUUGGCUUAGAAGCAGCCAUCAUUUAAAGAAAGCGUAAUAGCUCACUGGUCGAGUCGGCCUGCGCGGAAGAUGUAACGGGGCUAAACCAUGCACCGAAGCUGCGGCAGCGAUGCUUAUGCGUUGUUGGGUAGGGGAGCGUUCUGUAAGCCUGCGAAGGUGUGCUGUGAGGCAUGCUGGAGGUAUCAGAAGUGCGAAUGCUGACAUAAGUAACGAUAAAGCGGGUGAAAAGCCCGCUCGCCGGAAGACCAAGGGUUCCUGU